Molecule: ribosomal RNA, 492 nt
Filed under: uncultured bacterium
Lineage: Bacteria
Description: partial 16S ribosomal RNA
Rfam family: Bacterial small subunit ribosomal RNA
Source: RNAcentral
AGUGAACGCUGGCGGUAGGCCUAACACAUGCAAGUCGAACGGCAGCACAGUAAGAGCUUGCUCUUACGGGUGGCGAGUGGCGGACGGGUGAGGAAUACAUCGGAAUCUACUUUUUCGGGGGGGAUAACGUAGGGAAACUUACGCUAAUACCGCAUACGACCUACGGGUGAAAGCAGGGGAUCUUCGGACCUUGCGCGAUUGAAUGAGCCGAUGUCGGAUUAGCUAGUUGGCGGGGUAAAGGCCCACCAAGGCGACGAUCCGUAGCCGGUCUGAGAGGAUGAUCAGCCACACUGGAACUGAGACACGGUCCAGACUCCUACGGGAGGCAGCAGUGGGGAAUAUUGGACAAUGGGCGGAAGCCUGAUCCAGCCAUACCGCGUGGGUGAAGAAGGCCUUCGGGUUGUAAAGCCCUUUUGUUGGGAAAGAAAAGCAGCAGGUUAAUACCCCGCUGUUCUGACGGUACCCAAAGAAUAAGCACCGGCUAACUUCGUG